CCUANGGGGGGCAGCAGUCGAGAAUUUUUCACAAUGGGCGCAAGCCUGAUGGAGCGACGCCGCGUGGGGGAUGAAUGGCUUCGGCCCGUAAACCCCUGUCAUUUGCGAUCAAACCUUAUUAUUUAAAAGAUGAUAAGCUGAUAGUAGCGAAAGAGGAAGGGACGGCUAACUCUGUGCCAGCAGCCGCGGUAAUACAGAGGUCCCAAGCGUUGUUCGGAUUCACUGGGCGUAAAGGGUGCGUAGGUGGUGGGGUAAGUCGGAUGUGAAAGCUCGGAGCUCAACUCCGAAAUGGCAUUGGAAACUACCCUGCUAGAGGAUUGGAGGGGGGACUGGAAUACUUGGUGUAGCAGUGAAAUGCGUAGAUAUCAAGUGGAACACCAGUGGCGAAGGCGAGUCCCUGGACAAUACCUGACACUGAGGCACGAAAGCUAGGGGAGCAAACAGGAUUAGAUACCCUUNUANUC
RNAcentral lists this ribosomal RNA (464 nucleotides) under uncultured bacterium. Its description in RNAcentral is "bacterial SSU rRNA". It matches the Rfam family "Bacterial small subunit ribosomal RNA", at positions 338 to 795 of the family's 1533-position model. The record is from RNAcentral.